GUUUGUCGCGUUGUUCGUGAAAUCUCACGGCUUAACUGUGAGCGUGCGGGCGAUACGGGCAGACUUGAGUACUGCAGGGGAGACUGGAAUUCCUGGUGUAGCGGUGGAAUGCGCAGAUAUCAGGAGGAACACCGGUGGCGAAGGCGGGUCUCUGGGCAGUAACUGACGCUGAGGAGCGAAAGCGUGGGGAGCGAACAGGAUUAGAUACCCUGGUAGUCCACGCCGUAAACGGUGGGUACUAGGUGUGGGUUUCCUUCCUUGGGAUCCGUGCCGUAGCUAACGCAUUAAGUACCCCGCCUGGGGAGUACGGCCGCAAGGCUAAAACUCAAAGAAAUUGACGGGGGCCCGCACAAGCGGCGGAGCAUGUGGAUUAAUUCGAUGCAACGCGAAGAACCUUACCAGGGUUUGACAUGCACAGGACGCCGGCAGAGAUGUCGGUUCCCUUGUGGCCUGUGUGCAGGUGGUGCAUGGCUGUCGUCAGCUCGUGUCGUGAGAUGUUGGGUUAAGUCCCGCAACGAGCGCAACCCUUGUCUCAUGUUGCCAGCGGGUAAUGCCGGGGACUCGUGAGAGACUGCCGGGGUCAACUCGGAGGAAGGUGGGGAUGACGUCAAGUCAUCAUGCCCCUUAUGUCCAGGGCUUCACACAUGCUACAAUGGCCGGUACAAAGGGCUGCGAUGCCGCGAGGUUAAGCGAAUCCUUUUAAAGCCGGUCUCAGUUCGGAUCGGGGUCUGCAACUCGACCCCGUGAAGUCGGAGUCGC
RNAcentral lists this ribosomal RNA (759 nucleotides) under uncultured bacterium. RNAcentral's name for it is "bacterial SSU rRNA". It matches the Rfam family "Bacterial small subunit ribosomal RNA", at positions 578 to 1335 of the family's 1533-position model. The record is from RNAcentral.